This 261-nucleotide ribosomal RNA is filed under the name uncultured prokaryote. RNAcentral describes it as "partial 16S ribosomal RNA". It matches the Rfam family "Bacterial small subunit ribosomal RNA", at positions 524 to 784 of the family's 1533-position model. The record is from RNAcentral.
UACGUGGGUGGCGAGCGUUAUCCGGAAUUAUUGGGCGUAAAGAGCGCGCAGGUGGUUGAUUAAGUCUGAUGUGAAAGCCCACGGCUUAACCGUGGAGGGUCAUUGGAAACUGGUCGACUUGAGUGCAGAAGAGGGAAGUGGAAUUCCAUGUGUAGCGGUGAAAUGCGUAGAGAUAUGGAGGAACACCAGUGGCGAAGGCGGCUUCCUGGUCUGUAACUGACACUGAGGCGCGAAAGCGUGGGGAGCAAACAGGAUUAGAUA